RNAcentral lists this long non-coding RNA (769 nucleotides) under Homo sapiens (human). RNAcentral describes it as "HSALNT0049719". Lineage: Eukaryota; Metazoa; Chordata; Mammalia; Primates; Hominidae. The record is from RNAcentral.
GAGAGGGUCAUUUUCAGAGCAAACACAGAGAGCCUUUCCCUAAGAAAGGGAAUGAAUGGUAGACAGGCAGAAAUCACACGUGCCCCCUGAGUGCAGCCAUGCCAGGCAUGGCCAGCAAGCGCUCCCAUGGAGAAAAACUAUUUCUACAGGUAACAGCCCUCCACAGGGGUGUUGGGGCUCCACUUUCCAACCUCUUUCUUCCUUGGGAGCAAAAACUCUGUGGCUGCCAGGACCUGCCUCUCUGAAAACCCCCGUAAAGCUUCAAAGGGGCCUGUCCACCUCGCCAGCUUUGAUCUCAGGAGGAAACUUGCUCAGACACAUGAUCCAAAGGAAUGUGUACAAUUCCAGGUAUGCACAGGCACCUCCCUGGGCAGAAAGCAAGGCGCUUUCAUCACAGGCUGCGGGAGUCACCAACUGAAGAGACUCAAUGUCCUUGAAAGCACUUUUCUUUUUAUUAUGUUCAAAAUUCAGCAACGAAAACUGCUCGUCUUGCUUCUACGGAAGCUGUAAGGACGAGAAAGUGGAGCGCUGUCGCGGAAAGAGGCAGAAAUUUGGUGACACAAGAGCGAUCUCAGGACAGGGUGGAGCCAGGGAUCAGGACUGUGGUGCCCAGUCCCAGCUCAGCUAAGCCAAUGUGCGUCUUUGGGUCGUUUAGAUUAAGUGCUGAGAGGUGUAGCUCUUCCUAUACCUGGUAAAUGCUGACCCCCUGAACCCAAUCCCGAAGCCCCCAUCCACAUGCUAUGGGGACCACAUUGGGAGCCUGUGGUAU